AUUCUCUAGUAUUUUCUGUUCAGGUUACUUUUUGUUUGUCAUAUCUACCAUCUAUUAUAAAACCCAAAGAUCUUGAGCGAUUUCCUGGAGACUUCGGAUGUUUUUUUAUCUACUCGCGCGGUUGGGGCUUUUGUGGACAUAGAUGUCCAGAGCCUUCUUCGCGUCAAAACCAGUGAGGCUUCGAGAAACCAGAUGCGGCUUCGAGAGAUCAUCGUACAGUUCGGUGCAUGUACCUGCUUUUGACGUAUCUCUUCUUCAAGUUCUCCCUGUCCCUUUUCGUCUUUUGCUUUUGUUUUGUCAAAUUAGGGUCGAUAUUCGCCGGAAAAAUGAAGGCCCUUCUCCAUCGGAUAAAAUCGGAACGCAAACUAUAGGUAAUAUUCACUUACGUCUGCACGCCUCUUCUUCUUUUCUUGCAUCUGCAUGAUGGAUGCAUCUCCCACUGGUGGUUGGCGUGGUUCAUAUCUGGGGAAGAAUAGCAGAAACCAAGAAAUUGCGCAAAGAAAAUUUACAAUCUCUGAGCAGCUAGACCGAUGAACGCGACAAAUAGGACCUUUUUUUUCAAGGAGAUAAAGGUACUGCGAAGAGUGGAAAGCCUCUUUAUUUCAAGGGGAGCACAUUCCAUAGAAUUAUUCCCAGCUGUAUGAUCCAAGGGGGUGAUUUCACUCUUGGUGAUGGAAGAGCUGAGGAAUCAAUAUAUGGUGAGAAGUUUGCUGAUGGGAAUUUCAAGCUAAAGCAUACCAGACCAAGUAGGAUUUUUACAAUUAUCUAGCUAGCUUAUUGUCAGUGGAUUACUUCAGUAAUAGUUUCCAUCCAAAUAAAGUGGCUUGAUGGCUUAUGUUCAAUUAUUUUCCCUUAAUGCUGCUCAUUUUACUUUAAGAGAAUAAAUGAAUCAAGAGUGUCAAACUACAUAAUGAAUAAACAGCAUUGGGUUAUAAGUAGUGCCUCCUGGACUUGCCAUAUCUGCAGAGGCAUGCCAAGAAUAUCAAAAAAAUGGACAUAAACUGCCAGAAGUCUUGCGGAACAGCAAAGGAUGUAAUUAAGGUCCUCGAUAUGAGGGACAAGUGUAGAAGUAGGUAUGUUUUUAAUUCACAGUGGAAGUUUCAGAUAAUGUUUUGACAGUCUAAUGCCAUUUCUAAACAGCACGCUUGGUGAUAUUCAUGGAGUGCCGCGAGUGCCUUAUCAAGGAAAGCGAGGAGAAUAAUAUGUGAUGCUUAUAGGAUUUCAAACUAAACCUCAAGAAGGUAAUAGUUUGCAGAUUAACUUAUCAAUUCGUAGCUGUUCUUGGGCGUAAGCUUGCUGAUCAACCUUGACUCAGCUAGAGGAUAUAAAAUCAGAGGAAUGACAGGCUACUUCGAGAUUGGAUUAUUGAUGAGGAGAUUGGUUUGAUGCUUAAAAGUUAAAAAGUAGGCAAAGGAAAUGGAUGUUGUUUGGGUAGCAACUGCUGGUGUGGAUUGGCUGUCAUGUCCUCAGCUCUUCAUUUUGCUGGUAAGUAGGCUUUCCCAAUCAAGUUCUGAAGAUGUAGAGAGAAUGUGUACCCAACUGCUGGUGUAGAUGGCCAACUGUGGCUGUCAUGUCCUCAGCUUUUCAUUUUGCUGGAAAUCGACUUGAAGAACAAAGGAUACAAUUGUAAACAAAGGACUAUUCUAUUCCGCUUUUUGGGUAUUUUUUCAUGAGCACUUCUCUCCUGACAUCAAGCAAAAGCCUUCGAUCUGAACACAGGAUGAAAACAAUCUUCAUGUCCUUUUUGGGUUCUUGAAUCGUUAAUUUAUCUGCCUAGACCUAUCGAUUGAGAUUAUUGCUUCGAUCUUUUCUGCUGUUAGUAUUUAACUGUAGUUGUGUUCAGUAAUUUAAUUUCACCUUCUUCUUUCUGCAUGCAGAGCACCAGUUCAAAGAGAUCUACCCUUUACUGUGUUCUUCGCCGUUUGGGUACUAGUUAUUGAGGUUUUUUAUUUCUUCAAUCAUUUAUUUAACUAUUUAAACAUAUUGAUCUGGAUUGUUGUUGUGAUCACCUCUGUUAGUAUUUUACUGUCAUCGUCUUCCAUAUUUUAAUAUCACCUUCAGUUCCAUAUGGGGUUCAUGAUAGCUGCUGUCUUUCAUCAACCUUUUAUUAUUGAGGUGAGCUUUCUAUUUCCAUGUGGAAAAAAAAGAUGCUUUCAAUGUGAGAUAUUUUGGUAAUAGAUUAUACUUUGGUGCUGUGUUCAACAACUUUUAAUUUCUUCUGUAGUGUGUUUCCUCAGAUUUGGUUCCUUUGCUUUGCCACUUGGUAUACCGAUGUUGUUUUGCUGCAAUGCUGCGUUCGAUUAUCCAUCAACGAUUAAUCGUGUCUCUAAUGUUUGUGACCUUCAAUAUAAGAUUUACUUACUGCCUAUGUCUUAUAUAUCAGUUGCCAUUGCCUAAUGCAGGUGUGUUAGAUAGAUUGAUGAUAUGUAGAGUAAUAGUUGUCAUCAGAGCUUGAUCUAUAUGCCCUUUGCUUUCUUUUGCUCUGUUUCUGUCUGUUUCUUUUCUUUUUGUCGAAGUUACUUCCGCAAUUGAAUUUAUAAGUUCCUUAUUUUUUGAGAUAAUCCAAUUUCGUGAAACUUCUGCAAUUAGCAACUGAAUUUAUAAGUUCCUUUUCUUUCUUUCAUGGUCUCUGAUUGUGAUAUGUCUUUAGCAUACUUUUGUUUUUGAUAAUCCUGCAAGUAGUUGUUAAUCAUUUUUGUUUUCCUUGAAACUACGACUCUUAAUUUGUGCAGGAAGUGAGAAGAUAGGUCUUAAAGUUGAAGUAGGAGAAACACAUCUCUAAACAUGCCUGGAUUCUUUUUGCAUUUCCUAAUUUUAACUAAUGAUGUUUCGGACAAUAUAUUUGUCAAACUGGUGAACUCAUUUGAAUGAGAGUAUUGUGUAUAUAUUUUCACCGGAAGCAGAUUAUAACACCCGCCGCAACGCACGGGUACCUUCUUAGUCAUAUUAUAAUGGACAAUCAUAGUGCUCGUUUGCUUCACUUAACAGCUCAAAUAUUUUUAGCUUGAAAACCUUCAGACCAGUAGUUUUUUCACUUUGGAUUUGAGUAUUCUCAAUUCUUGUCUUUGAAAAUGCAAUUGGAUAUGGCGGAUGAUCCAAACUUUACAUUUCUCUUGUCAAGUUCAGAUUUGCUUCAAAAGAAUUCCUCGUCCUAGAUUUGUGGCUCUUUCCGUGGUCAAGCUUUGCGGAAUGGUUGAAAGAGUAACCUCUGGUAUUUUCACUGCAUGGUUGCUCUAUGGUUUUGUUUGAGUUAUGGCAGGUGCCCGGAACAUCCUCAAUAGAGUGUUGAACUACUAAUUCUUUAUUAUAACACAUAAAUGGGCUUUAAUUUCUAGCUAUGAUUUCUGCCCCUCAUAUUGGUACUGCUCUUUUUAAUUGGUAGGUGUCAUUCCCUAAUUGAUCUUCAGUGUCUUGAAAAGCAUUUGCUACACAUACUAACUGCAUUUUUUUGUCCAAACUCGAGUGUUCUUGCUCAGAUUUUAAAUUGUUUGUAUUUGUAUCCAAAGCCAUGACUUACAAAAUUUAGUGCAGAUUUGAGUGUCAGACCUACAUGUUUCACGCUAUAAAGUACAUUAUUUAAUUAAUUCCUCAAGAUUUCUUGGUCCAUAAGGAAGAACCUCAUGUCAUGGUAUGAUCCGUCAUGUGAUUUUUUUACAACGUUAUAAACUCUCUUAUGAAUUCCGUUGGAAAGGUACAAAAUCCAGAAUUUUGAUAAUAGAGUUUUGUUAGGGUUUGGCUUUUUCAUACCUUUUUUUUUUUUUUUGCAAGAUUGACUUGGCUUUGUUUAGGCAAAGGGUGUCUCCUUGCGUAGUAAUUUCAUUUCGCUGAGGAUACAAAAGCCGGAAUUUUGAUAGUCAGGUUUAGUCGGAGUUUGGGAUCUUAUGCUUUCGUGAGUUUUGGUUUCUUUUUUAUUUUUAUUCUCUCUUUUUUGGAUUUUUUUUCAAUCUUGGUGCUCAGUUUAUAAUAUUGAAGGUGGUUAAGUUAGGACUUACGAGUUUUUUUAGAUUGGCUCAGCUUUGCUUGUUUUGAUUCAGUGUGGUUAUCUUGGUUGAGGGAGCAACCAGUCUUGAUAGAUGGAAGCAGAUAGCCUUCAAUUCUCUUUGGUAUCUUUUACUGAAUGUCUUAUUCCUUUCACUACUUUAUUUUUCGAAAGUUUGUGACUUCGCUUGAAUGAUUAGAGACUUGUCUGAUUCGAAGAAUGCACUCUGUGUAAAGAAUAUAGAUAUUGCGUAAGUAUCAAAAAGCAAAUUGACAACCAAGUGCUAUCUCGGGAAGAUUACACCAAAGCUUUGUGCUGUUACUCCCUGAUGUUGAUGACAUGGGUAGAAAUCUGGUUACAAGUUUGUAAGGUUAACUGGCUUCUUUGUUUCAGAAUCACCCACUCAUAGUAGGGGCGAUUAUGGUUUCAGAUAGACACUUUUUAGUAUCUCGUCGCCAAGUUUCUCUGUAAAUUCUCUUCCACCAUCAAUGCGAGGUCAACUAUCUUGGGCUGACUUGGCAGGGCUUUAUAAGUACCAUUAUGUAAAUAUAUCUUUUCUUUUCUCUACGUCUGUAUUUUGAUGCCUCCGGCUUAUUCUUUAAUUACCUGAUGCUUCAUUUUCUUCUUUUCCAAUUUUACUAGUUCCCUCCCCCCAUUCUUUUGUUCCGAUUGGUCAUAUGAAUCAAAAAAUUUA
Tripterygium wilfordii is the source of this 4673-nucleotide long non-coding RNA. RefSeq lists it as uncharacterized. The record is from RefSeq and is a predicted model, not a curated record. The transcript has 9 exons. NCBI's taxonomy places the organism in Eukaryota, Viridiplantae, Streptophyta, Magnoliopsida, Celastrales, Celastraceae.